CCUACGGGAGGCAGCAGUGAGGAAUAUUGGUCAAUGGGCUUACGCCUGAACCAGCCAAGUCGCGUGAGGGAAGACUGCCCUAUGGGUUGUAAACCUCUUUUGUCAGGGAGCAAUUGGCGCUACGUGUAGCGUUAUCGAGAGUACCUGAAGAAAAAGCAUCGGCUAACUCCGUGCAAGCAGCCGCGGUAAUACGGAGGAUGCGAGCGUUAUCCGGAUUUCUUGGGUUUAAAGGGUGCGUAGGCGGAAUGCAAAGUCAGCGGUAAAAUCGCGGGGCUCAACCUCGCUCCGCCGUUGACACUGGCGUGCUGGAGUGGGGGAGAGGUAUGCGGAAUGCGUGGUGUAGCGGUGAAAUGCAUAGAUAGCACGUAGAACACCGAUUGCGAAGGCAGCAUACCGGCGCCCAACUGACGCUGAAGCACGAAAGCGUGGGUAUCGAACAGGAUUAGAUACCCGGGUAGUC
Molecule: ribosomal RNA, 460 nt
Filed under: uncultured bacterium
Lineage: Bacteria
Description: partial 16S ribosomal RNA
Rfam family: Bacterial small subunit ribosomal RNA
Source: RNAcentral